AGUGAACGCUGGCGGUAGGCCUAACACAUGCAAGUCGAACGGCAGCACAGUAAGAGCUUGCUCUUACGGGUGGCGAGUGGCGGACGGGUGAGGAAUACAUCGGAAUCUACUUUUUCGUGGGGGAUAACGUAGGGAAACUUACGCUAAUACCGCAUACGACCUACGGGUGAAAGCAGGGGAUCUUCGGACCUUGCGCGAUUGAAUGAGCCGAUGUCGGAUUAGCUAGUUGGCGGGGUAAAGGCCCACCAAGGCGACGAUCCGUAGCUGGUCUGAGAGGAUGAUCGGCCACACUGGAACUGAGACACGGUCCAGACUCCUAAGGGAGGCAGCAGUGGGGAAUAUUGGACAAUGGGCGCAAGCCUGAUCCAGCCAUACCGCGAGGGUGAAGAAGGCCUUCGGGUUGUAAAGCCCUUUUGUUGGGAAAGAAAAGCAGCAGGUUAAUACCCCGCUGUUCUGACGGUACCCAAAGAAUAAGCACCGGCUAACUUCGUG
RNAcentral lists this ribosomal RNA (492 nucleotides) under uncultured bacterium. RNAcentral describes it as "partial 16S ribosomal RNA". It matches the Rfam family "Bacterial small subunit ribosomal RNA", at positions 29 to 507 of the family's 1533-position model. The record is from RNAcentral.